RNAcentral lists this ribosomal RNA (429 nucleotides) under bacterium. RNAcentral's name for it is "partial 16S ribosomal RNA". It matches the Rfam family "Bacterial small subunit ribosomal RNA", at positions 355 to 776 of the family's 1533-position model. The record is from RNAcentral.
UAGGGAAUCUUCGGCAAUGGGGGCAACCCUGACCGAGCAACGCCGCGUGAGUGAAGAAGGUUUUCGGAUCGUAAAGCUCUGUUGUAAGAGAAGAACGUGUGUGAGAGUGGAAAGUUCACACAGUGACGGUAACUUACCAGAAAGGGACGGCUAACUACGUGCCAGCAGCCGCGGUAAUACGUAGGUCCCGAGCGUUGUCCGGAUUUAUUGGGCGUAAAGCGAGCGCAGGCGGUUUAAUAAGUCUGAAGUUAAAGGCAGUGGCUUAACCAUUGUUCGCUUUGGAAACUGUUAAACUUGAGUGCAGAGGGGGAGAGUGGAAUUCCAUGUGUAGCGGUGAAAUGCGUAGAUAUAUGGAGGAACACCGGUGGCGAAAGCGGCUCUCUGGUCUGUAACUGACGCUGAGGCUCGAAAGCGUGGGGAGCAAACAGG